Molecule: ribosomal RNA, 771 nt
Filed under: Marinobacter sp.
Lineage: Bacteria; Pseudomonadati; Pseudomonadota; Gammaproteobacteria; Pseudomonadales; Marinobacteraceae
Description: bacterial SSU rRNA
Rfam family: Bacterial small subunit ribosomal RNA
Source: RNAcentral
GGAGACUGCCGGCAGCUUACCAUGCAAGUCGAGCGGUAACAGGGGUAGCUUGCUACCCGCUGACGAGCGGCGGACGGGUGAGUAAUGCAUAGGAAACUGCCCAGUAGUGGGGGAUAGCCCGGGGAAACCCGGAUUAAUACCGCAUACGUCCUUCGGGAGAAAGCAGGGGAUCUUCGGACCUUGCGCUAUUGGAUGUGCCUAUGUCGGAUUAGCUGGUUGGUGAGGUAAUGGCUCACCAAGGCGACGAUCCGUAGCUGGUCUGAGAGGAUGAUCAGCCACAUCGGGACUGAGACACGGCCCGAACUCCUACGGGAGGCAGCAGUGGGGAAUAUUGGACAAUGGGGGCAACCCUGAUCCAGCCAUGCCGCGUGUGUGAAGAAGGCUUUCGGGUUGUAAAGCACUUUCAGUGAGGAGGAAAAGUUAGUCCUUAAUACGGGCUAGCCUUGACGUUACUCACAGAAGAAGCACCGGCUAACUCCGUGCCAGCAGCCGCGGUAAUACGGAGGGUGCAAGCGUUAAUCGGAAUUACUGGGCGUAAAGCGCGCGUAGGUGGUUUGAUAAGCGAGAUGUGAAAGCCCCGGGCUUAACCUGGGAACGGCAUUUCGAACUGUCAGGCUAGAGUGUGGUAGAGGGUAGUGGAAUUUCCUGUGUAGCGGUGAAAUGCGUAGAUAUAGGAAGGAACACCAGUGGCGAAGGCGGCUACCUGGACCAACACUGACACUGAGGUGCGAAAGCGUGGGGAGCAAACAGGAUUAGAUACCUUGGUAGUCA